AAGUUUCAGGGUCGCCCUACCCUCCGGUCACUGUGAUCGACUUCUUCACAGUAUUCUUCUCUUUAGCAACAGUCUUAUACCCAUAAAUUUCAAGGUUGCCCUACCCUCCGGUCACUGAGAUCGACUUUUCCACGGUAUUCUUCUCGUUAGCAACAGUCUUAUACCCGUAAAUGAUCGACUUCUCCCCGGUGUUCUUCUCCUUAGUAAGAGUCUUAUAUUUAUAGGUGAAUAUUAGGUCCCAGAUAGCAAAGGAAAAUAAGAUGUACAUAGAUCUUACGACAUAAAACUUGG
Molecule: long non-coding RNA, 291 nt
Filed under: Daucus carota (carrot)
Lineage: Eukaryota; Viridiplantae; Streptophyta; Magnoliopsida; Apiales; Apiaceae
Description: long non-coding RNA (DCAR_LNC001777)
Source: RNAcentral